GUCUACAGCCAUGCCAUCCUGAACAUGCCCGAUCUCGUCUGAUCUCGGAAGCUAAGCAGGGUUGGGCCUGGUUAGUACUUGAAUGGGAGACCACCUAGGAAGACCAGGUGAUGCAGGAG
This 119-nucleotide ribosomal RNA is filed under the name Pteropus alecto (black flying fox). The record is from RNAcentral. Lineage: Eukaryota; Metazoa; Chordata; Mammalia; Chiroptera; Pteropodidae.